This 468-nucleotide ribosomal RNA is filed under the name uncultured bacterium. Its description in RNAcentral is "partial 16S ribosomal RNA". It matches the Rfam family "Bacterial small subunit ribosomal RNA", at positions 28 to 507 of the family's 1533-position model. The record is from RNAcentral.
GAUGAACGCUGGCGGCGUGCUUAACACAUGCAAGUCGAACGGUGAAGGCGGAGCUUGCUCUGCUGGAUCAGUGGCGAACGGGUGAGUAACACGUGAGCAAUCUGCCCCUGACUCUGGGAUAAGCGCUGGAAACGGCGUCUAAUACUGGAUACGAGCUGCGAAGGCAUCUUCAGCAGCUGGAAAGAAUUUCGGUCAGGGAUGAGCUCGCGGCCUAUCAGCUUGUUGGUGAGGUAAUGGCUCACCAAGGCGUCGACGGGUAGCCGGCCUGAGAGGGUGACCGGCCACACUGGUACUGAGACACUGCCCAGACUCCUACGGGAGGAAGCAGUGAGGAAUAUUGCAGAAUGAGCGAAAGCCUGAUGCAGCAACGCCGCGUGAGGGACGACGGCCUUCUGGUUGUAAACCUCUUUUAGCAGGGAAGAAGCGAAAGUGACGGUACCUGCAAAAAAAGCGCCGGCUAACUACGUG